RNAcentral lists this ribosomal RNA (255 nucleotides) under uncultured bacterium. Its description in RNAcentral is "partial 16S ribosomal RNA". It matches the Rfam family "Bacterial small subunit ribosomal RNA", at positions 524 to 776 of the family's 1533-position model. The record is from RNAcentral.
GACAGAGGAGCCAAGCGUUGUCCGGAUUGACUGGGCGUAAAGCGCACGCAGGCGGUCGUGCACGUGGGGUGUGAAAACUGGCGGCUUAACUGCCAGAGGCCACCUCAUACGGCGCGACUCGAGCCAUGGCAGAGGUCCACGGAAUUGCCGGUGUAGUGGUGAAAUGCGUAGAGAGUCGGCAGGAACACCCAGGGGGAAACCAGUGGACUGGGCAUGUGCUGACGCUCAGGUGCGAAAGCGUGGGGAGCGAACCGG